Long non-coding RNA from Mya arenaria, 3636 nucleotides. RefSeq lists it as uncharacterized. NCBI's taxonomy places the organism in Eukaryota, Metazoa, Mollusca, Bivalvia, Myida, Myidae. The transcript is spliced from 2 exons. The record is from RefSeq and is a predicted model, not a curated record.
UUUGUCAGCGAUUUUACAAUCAUCCCUGACAUUGUGCUCGACACAAUAUGUUUUGUUGUAAAAUUAGCAAAAUCAGACUCAAGGCGAAGCAACAACAACUUUUAAAAUUGAAAUUUAUUUGCUGUUGCUAUUGAACAAGGUUGGUGGCCUGCAUGGUUGUUCCCAUUUAUGUGUUCUGCACAUAAUAUGAAAGUCACUCUUCAACACUGCAUUAGAUGGAAAUAAAGUUUUAAUUUCUUUUUAAUUUGCAAGAAUUAAAAAAGAAAAGAUUGAAAAAUAGUUUAAAAAUGACACCUCCACAAACAUAUGAGCUUACAGGUGUGUCUUUGACAGUGGUGCUAUUUGCAGCAGCAGUGUUUAUGUGGCUUUGUGUUAAGAUGGUUCUUAGUGUAGCACAGUGGGCAUUAAAGAAGCAUGAAGCUAGUUCUUCAGACAACACUUCAAAUGACAAUCAAGAAGCAUCAGAAGAGACAGACCAGGCCACAGAAGAAGACAACACUGUUGAACCACCAGAUUUGGACAUAAAGAAGGGAAACUGACCUGAAACUGAGGAGGACAUCACAUAUCACUAGCAUGCAAACUAAUUUUUUACCCCAAUAGUUCAAUCCCAUAUAUCACUUGUCCUAUUUUACAAUAAUUUGAGGUUUGAUAGAAAAUGUGUUUAUUUUACUAUUUGCAAUACAUCUAUUAUAUAAUUUCUUGAUUAAAUUUAAGAUCAUAGGUAAAUACAAUAUAGAGUGAAAAAAAAACUGGCAGCAUUUAUGUAUUGGUGUUUUAUGUACAACUUUAUACAUGUGCUUUGCUUUUGGUAUGCUUGAGUAUACAUAUAUGCAAUUUCUGUAAUACAGCUUGUGUAUAUUUUGUAUGUAUACCCUUUUAUACCUCCGACAAACGAAGUUUGAAGGGGUAUAUUGGAGUCACCCUUUGGUGGGUCUGUCGGUCGGUCCGUUGCAAUUUAUCUUGUCCGGAGCAUAACUUAAAAACUACUGGAUGGAAUUGGAUUAAACUUCAUACAAUGGUAGAGCAUAAUGAGAGGAAGUGCCGUGUACAAUAACCAUAACUCUAUUCUUGCCUAUUACUGAGUUAUUGCCCUUUGUUACUUUUUUUUGUCCGGAGUAUAACUUGAAAAGUACUGGAUGGAAUUGAUUGGACGUUCAUACAAUGGUAAAGCACAAUGAGAGGAAGUGCAGUGUUCAAGAACCAUAACUCUACUUUAGAUAAUCACUGAGUUAUUGCCCUUUAUUAUUUUUUUUGCUGUCAUUUUUUUCCAGACAUUAAUUUGCAAACUGCUAGAUGGAAUUUAUUAAAACUUAAUACAAUGGUAAAGCACAAUGAGAGGAAGUGCAGUGCACAAGAACCAUAACUCUAUUUCAGCUAAUUACAGAGUAACUGCCCUUUGUUACUUUUUUCUUGUCCGAAGCAUAACUUGAAAACUAUCAGAUGGAAUUUAAUAGAACUUCAUACAGUGAUAGAUCAUUAUGAGAGGGAGUGCAGUGUACAGGAACCGCAAUUCUAUUGAAGCUAAUUACAGAGUAACUGCCCUUUGUUACUUUUUCUUGUCCGGAGCAUAACUUGAAAACUAUUGGAUGGAAUUAAAUAAUACUUCAUACAGUGAUAGAUCAUAAUGAGAGAAAGUGCAGUGUAUAGGAACUGCAAUUCUAUUUCAGCCAAUUACAGAGUUACUGCCCUUUGUUACUUUAUCUUGUCCGGAGCAUAACUUGAAAACUAUUGGAUGGAAUUUAAUAAUACUUCAUACAGUGAUAGAUCAUAAUGAGAGGAGGUGCAGUGUACAGGAACUGCAAUUCUAUUUCAGCCAAUUACAUAGUUACUGCCCUUUGUUACUUUUUCUUGUCCGGAGCAUAUCUUGAAAAGUAUUGGAUGGAAUUUAAUAAAACUUCAUACAGUGAUAGAUCGUAAUGAGAGGAAGUGCAUUGUACAGGAACCGCAAUUCUGUUUCAGCCAAUCACAGAGUUAUUGCCCUUUGUUACGUAUUUCUUGUCCGGAGCAUAGCUUGAAAACUACCGGAUGGAAUGUAAUAAAACUGUAUACCAUGGUACAGCACAAUGAGAAGGAGUUCAUUGUACAUGAAUCAUUACACUAUUUUAGCAAAUAACAGAGUAAUUCCCCUUUUCUGUGUUUUUUUGUCAAACUUUUGUCCGCACAGUAACUUGAAAACUACCAGAUGGAAUUUCAUAAAACUUCAUACAAUGAUAAAUCAUAAUGAGAGGCGGCGUUCGGGGGUAUUAAUCACAUUCAGUGAUAGCUCUAGUUUAAUGACACGGGAUGUGAUUGUAAACAAGCAUACCAAAUGCAGGCAUUGUGUUUAUAAAUGGAAGCAUUAUCAGUGUGUGUAUACCACGUGAUAAAUUGCGUCAUAAAUGCCACGUCGGAAGGCAAUAUUUUGAUUGGAAAAAUACUUUAAACAAAGAUAACUUCUCUAUUUCUUCACCAUUUUAAAUGAAACAUAGCGCAGUCUACGCCGUUAACAGAGCCCUGCCUUUGGUCUUUUACCAGAGUUUGAUUGAGAGUUUAGUUUCUUUUAACACUUCGACAAACCUUUUCUCAAUACGGCCGUCUGACGUAGCACUGUCAAAACAUGAUUUUGGAAACAGGUUUGUCGAAGUGUUUGAUGAAACUAAUAACUUUACCAAAUUUCGGUCAUAAAACAAAAGCAGGGCUCUCUAAGAGACAGACUGCCCUUUGUUUCAUUUAAAAUGGUGUUGUGCAAGAAAAGUUAUCUAAAAUUUAAGUCUUCAUUUAAAGCAAAAUGUUGCCUUCCGACAUAGCAUAUAUAUACAGUAUGACGUUAUUUAUCACGUGGUAUACACACACUGAUCAUUAUGUGAAUGCAAUUUACUGGUACUUGUUUUUGCUAAGUUUCUUGACAUAUUGAAUAAAUAUACUUAUACAUUCACAUGUUUGGGAGCCCUUUACAGUUCCUAGACUCUAAUUGUGUAAUGUAAAUUAAGGAUAUAAGACUAGUAGUGCUUAAUCAUUGCACAUUUACAUGUACUUUAUAAUGUAGGAAUGCUUUAGCCUACAUGUAACAUCACAAAACGUAUGCUAUUUAAAGAUUCAUGAUACCAUACACAAAAUGUGUUUACCAUACACAAAAUGUAUACUGGUAAGGGACUUUUCGAUAUGAAAUAGAUGUUUGUCUUAAAUAACUUGAGAAAUACUGUGUAUUUGAAAUUUCACAGAGGGAAAGUUAGUCCAAUGGUCUAAAAAUAAGAAUGAGAUAAGAUUUAAAAUGUACCCUUAUUUUAAGAAUAGAUUUACUUGCCAAAUAUACAAAUGUACAUGUAUUUGCACACUUUUGAAUAUGGUAUUCAUUUUUUAAACAAUGUGAACAUUGUGUAUGAAAUAUUUUGGGAUGAAUUUUUUUCCAAGUGGUUCAGUGGUAACGGGCGACACAGUGUUCCCAGAUCAGUACAAACCUGCAUGUGUCUGUAUGUUAGCAUUGUUGCAUUUCUAUUUAAUUAAAUGGUAAGGUUUGCUUAUAAGUAUGAACAUGUUUUAUCUAUUCAUACAGUAACUGGUGCAAUGUGUUCAAGCAUGUGUUUUUUUUUUAUUUUCAUCAUCAUUAUAAAGUCAUAUUUAUCAUAUGCCGGAGAUAUACAAACAUGUAUUCACUUA